GACGAACGCUGGCGGCGUGCUUAACACAUGCAAGUCGAACGGAAAGGCCCUGCUUUUGUGGUGUGCUCGAGUGGCGAACGGGUGAGUAACACGUGAGUAACCUGCCCUUGACUUUGGGAUAACUUCAGGAAACUGGGGCUAAUACCGGAUAGGAGCUCCUGCUGCAUGGUGGGGGUUGGAAAGUUUCGGCGGUUGGGGAUGGACUCGCGGCUUAUCAGCUUGUUGGUGGGGUAGUGGCUUACCAAGGCUUUGACGGGUAGCCGGCCUGAGAGGGUGACCGGCCACAUUGGGACUGAGAUACGGACCAGAGUCCUACGGGAGGCAGCAGUGGGGAAUAUUGCACAAUGGGCGGAAGCCUGAUGAAGCAACGCCGCGUGCGGGAUGACGGCCUUCGGGUUGUAAACCGCUUUAGCCUGUGACGAAGCGUGAGUGACGGUAAUGGGUAAAGAAGCACCGGCUAACUACGUG
RNAcentral lists this ribosomal RNA (468 nucleotides) under uncultured bacterium. Its description in RNAcentral is "partial 16S ribosomal RNA". It matches the Rfam family "Bacterial small subunit ribosomal RNA", at positions 28 to 507 of the family's 1533-position model. The record is from RNAcentral.